Molecule: transfer-messenger RNA, 404 nt
Filed under: Flavobacteriales bacterium
Lineage: Bacteria; Pseudomonadati; Bacteroidota; Flavobacteriia; Flavobacteriales
Rfam family: transfer-messenger RNA
About the family: Bacterial tmRNA, also known as 10Sa RNA or SsrA, is named for its dual tRNA and mRNA-like properties.
Source: RNAcentral
GGGGCUGAUUUUGGAAUAGACAGCAAGAUUAUUUAUGAGGGGAAGCAUACCGUGUUGCGUAAUGCCUUACACGUAAAUAAAGCGUUACAUACAUAAUAAAUGGCGAAAAACAAUACGCUUUUGCUGCUUGAAUGAUGAAUCAUUAAGCUUAAUCUGAUACACAUACAGAAGCAAAAUAUCUCUCAGGAAUUCUUCCUUAUAGUUCCUGAAGUCGAGGUAAUCAGAAUAUAAGGAUAAGAAAACGGAUGAUUCUAAAGUUUUCUGAUUCAAUAUUUUUGAAUCUAAGAUUUUGAUCGUAAUCCAAUAGUUCGAUUUUAAUCUGAAAAACUUUACUUUGGAUAAGUAUGUAGAAAUCCUUCGUAGAACUUGUUUGGACGCGGGUUCGAAUCCCGCCAGCUCCACUU